This 433-nucleotide ribosomal RNA is filed under the name uncultured bacterium. RNAcentral describes it as "partial 16S ribosomal RNA". It matches the Rfam family "Bacterial small subunit ribosomal RNA", at positions 29 to 507 of the family's 1533-position model. The record is from RNAcentral.
AACGAACGCUGGCGGCAGGCCUAACACAUGCAAGUCGAGCGAGGACUUCGGUUCUAGCGGCGGACGGGUGAGUAACGCGUGGGAAUGUGCCCUUCUCUACGGAAUAGCCCUGGGAAACUGGGAGUAAUACCGUAUACGCCCUAUUGGGGAAAGAUUUUUCGGAGAAGGAUCAGCCCGCGUUGGAUUAGGUAGUUGGUGGGGUAAUGGCCUACCAAGCCGACAAUCCAUAGCUGGUUUGAGAGGAUGAUCAGCCACACUGGGACUGAGACACGGCCCAGACUCCUACGGGAGGCAGCAGUGGGGAAUCUUAGACAAUGGGGGCAACCCUGAUCUAGCCAUGCCGCGUGAGUGAUGAAGGCCUUAGGGUUGUAAAGCUCUUUCAGCUGGGAAGAUAAUGACGGUACCAGCAGAAGAAGCCCCGGCUAACUCCGUG